CGGCGAGUAGCGCAGCUUGGCAGCGCAACUGGUUUGGGACCAGUAGGUCGGAGGUUCGAAUCCUCUCUCGCCGA
This 74-nucleotide transfer RNA is filed under the name Candidatus Hoaglandella endobia. It matches the Rfam family "tRNA". From Rfam's summary of the family: Transfer RNA (tRNA) molecules are approximately 80 nucleotides in length. The record is from Rfam by way of RNAcentral. Lineage: Bacteria; Pseudomonadati; Pseudomonadota; Gammaproteobacteria; Enterobacterales; Enterobacteriaceae.